RNAcentral lists this ribosomal RNA (742 nucleotides) under uncultured bacterium. RNAcentral describes it as "bacterial SSU rRNA". It matches the Rfam family "Bacterial small subunit ribosomal RNA", at positions 94 to 823 of the family's 1533-position model. The record is from RNAcentral.
AGCGGCGGAUGGGUGAGUAACACGUGGGGAACCUGCCCCUAAGUCUGGGAUACCAUUUGGAAACAGGUGCUAAUACCGGAUAAUAAAGCAGAUCGCAUGAUCAGCUUUUGAAAGGCGGCGUAAGCUGUCGCUAAGGGAUGGCCCCGCGUGCAUUAGCUAGUUGGUAAGGUAACGGCUUACCAAGGCGACGAUGCAUAGCCGAGUUGAGAGACUGAUCGGCCACAUUGGGACUGAGACACGGCCCAAACUCCUACGGGAGGCAGCAGUAGGGAAUCUUCCACAAUGGACGCAAGUCUGAUGGAGCAACGCCGCGUGAGUGAAGAAGGUUUUCGGAUCGUAAAGCUCUGUUGUUGGUGAAGAAGGAUAGAGGUAGUAACUGGCCUUUAUUUGACGGUAAUCAACCAGAAAGUCACGGCUAACUACGUGCCAGCAGCCGCGGUAAUACGUAGGUGGCAAGCGUUGUCCGGAUUUAUUGGGCGUAAAGCGAGCGCAGGCGGAAAAAUAAGUCUAAUGUGAAAGCCCUCGGCUUAACCGAGGAACUGCAUCGGAAACUGUUUUUCUUGAGUGCAGAAGAGGAGAGUGGAACUCCAUGUGUAGCGGUGGAAUGCGUAGAUAUAUGGAAGAACACCAGUGGCGAAGGCGGCUCUCUGGUCUGCAACUGACGCUGAGGCUCGAAAGCAUGGGUAGCGAACAGGAUUAGAUACCCUGGUAGUCCAUGCCGUAAACGAUGAGUGCUAAGUGU